Molecule: ribosomal RNA, 430 nt
Filed under: uncultured Acidobacterium sp.
Lineage: Bacteria; Pseudomonadati; Acidobacteriota; Terriglobia; Terriglobales; Acidobacteriaceae
Description: bacterial SSU rRNA
Rfam family: Bacterial small subunit ribosomal RNA
Source: RNAcentral
AACGCGAAGAACCUUACCUGGGCUCGAACGGCUUUGGAUCGACGGUGGAAACACUGUUUUCCCGCAAGGGACCGGAGUCGAGGUGCUGCAUGGCUGUCGUCAGCUCGUGUCGUGAGAUGUUGGGUUAAGUCCCGCAACGAGCGCAACCCUUGUCCUGUGUUGCCACUCCCGUAAGGGAAGCACUCUCAGGAGACCGCCAGCGAUAAGUUGGAGGAAGGUGGGGAUGAUGUCAAGUCAUCAUGGCCUUUAUGUCCAGGGCUACACACGUGCUACAAUGGUCGGUACAAAGCGCUGCAAACCCGCGAGGGGGAGCUAAUCGCAAAAAGCCGGCCUCAGUUCGGAUUGCAGGCUGCAACUCGCCUGCAUGAAGCUGGAAUCGCUAGUAAUGCCGUAUCAGAACGAUGGCGUGAAUACGUUCCCGGGCCUUGUA